GGGUGGUUAGCUCAGCUGGUAGAGCAUCGCCCUUACAAGGCGAGGGUCACUGGUUCGACUCCAGUACCACCCACCA
Molecule: transfer RNA, 76 nt
Filed under: bacterium
Lineage: Bacteria
Also listed under: 3 other names
Description: tRNA-Val
Rfam family: tRNA
About the family: Transfer RNA (tRNA) molecules are approximately 80 nucleotides in length. Their secondary structure includes four short double-helical elements and three loops (D, anti-codon, and T loops). Further hydrogen bonds mediate the characteristic L-shaped molecular structure. tRNAs have two regions of fundamental functional importance: the anti-codon, which is responsible for specific mRNA codon recognition, and the 3' end, to which the tRNAs corresponding amino acid is attached (by aminoacyl-tRNA synthetases). tRNAs cope with the degeneracy of the genetic code in two manners: having more than one tRNA (with a specific anti-codon) for a particular amino acid; and 'wobble' base-pairing, i.e. permitting non-standard base-pairing at the 3rd anti-codon position.
Source: RNAcentral